UCGAAUUCAAGUGCAACGCUUUACCGCUCUGGUAACUGAUGACGUCAAAAUUGCAAUGGGGAGCUGGUUUGCUCUCGUGCCAGGAGAGCUUGUCCGAUAAACUACAUCAAUAUCCAAUGAGACUGCGUGUCGAUGUAAACAAAAAACAUCAGUUCCCAUGAUUUCUCUGAGCUUAUGGUCAAGUGUUUACUGCGUUGUAGUGUUGUGUAACGAAUUGUUCCAGUCCUGAAAACGAAAGAAAUAUAUUUCUUUUAAUGUGUACAACAUGUAUUUAAUGUGUACAACUUUAUUUACUUUAUCCUAUAGAAAAUUCCCUCCAAAGUAAACUACAGCAACAGAGUGCAGUACAAUACCACAAGUUUUCCAGCCAAAUGCGGUAUGCAUUUCAAGUUUCUAUACAUUUAUAUAAAUUUUAAGAGAGUAAAAUAUUGACAAAAACUGCAUUAAGUUUUCAACUCUUGUUUUGUUUUUCAUUAAAAAUUUGCUACCAUUAUGUAUAAUUCAUUUUUUUAAUGUAAAUGUUUUUAAGUAUUUGUAGGAUAAAGGCAAAUUACACUUAUUCAUUCUUUCUUUGAUAUAAUACAUGUAGCUCUUUACCUGAAAUUAAUGUUUGUCAAAUUGUUGUGCAUAAAUUAGAAGUAUGCAUGUUUCUCUUAAGUCAGUUAUGUUUCAGGAACUAUCUUUAAUGAAUUGUAUAGAAAAUUGUGGACGAGGUGUUAGGUGUACAGGAACGUGGUAUAUUAUAAACAUGUAUAGUAUCUCAUAGUAUAUAAACUCAUAACUUUGAUUAUGCAGUAUGCUUUGUAUAUUAUUUCUGAAAGCAUGUAUAUUUCAAUCAAGAUUGUUGAGUAAACUUUUCUUGCUUUAUGCUAUCUCUGAAAGCAUGUAUAUUUCAGUCAAGAUUGUUGAGUAAAUUGUGCUUAUUUUAUGCUUUUUUCUUUUUUACAUUAGAAAAUUCCACACCUUUAUCACGAGGAAAUCUGCAAUGGCAUUUAGAAAUGACAAAUAGAAGCUCAACUAUUUGAAGCAGGAGACCGAAGAG
Molecule: long non-coding RNA, 1042 nt
Organism: Stegodyphus dumicola
Lineage: Eukaryota; Metazoa; Arthropoda; Arachnida; Araneae; Eresidae
Source: RefSeq, a predicted model, not a curated record